AUCAAAUAAUAGCGCAGACAGGAAGGAUGAAUUGCGGAAUUUACCCAUCUGAACCGCAAAGGCGCGGAUCCAGGCAACGGAGCGGGUCGACGCGCGGAUCCUCUUCCCCUUAAACGACACUAUUUCUUCCCUUUUAUAAAACCAAACAUUUCCUUCAAAGAACAAAGAAAACAAUCGGCCAUCUCUAAAAUAACCCUAGCCCCCUUUCCUUGAUUCUUCCUCAAUCAAUCCCAAAUCUCUACCCUCAGACGCCGUACCCUCGCCUCUAACAGUGGCCGACGGUGAGUAAAUCUUCCCUUUCUAACCUCAUUUAGAAAAACAUUUAAGAAUCUAACACCUUCAACCACAAAGAAUCAAAAGAACGUCUCAACCUUGGUUGGAUUCGGUUUUAACGGAGGAGAAACUCUGACGAUAUUCCAACGAUUCUGUCUGUUGCAGGUGUGUAUGGCGUGGAGAAGCCGUUCGUGGGCGUGUUGACGUGAGCGUGAAGCAACGGCGCGUGUGGAAGUUGGCACGAAGGCAGCAGUGGUGUUGGAAGCUGCUAGAAACCAAUUGCGGUGCACCCUUAGGGUUUCUGCUAAAAAAUGUCUUGGGCCGUUUGGGCCUGUCUCAGGAUAAUUGGGUAGGGUUUCAAUUGGGUUAAGGCUAUUAGGAAUUUGGGUUAAUAAUUUGCUUGUAAGUAGGCUAGGUAAUUGGGCUUGUAACAUGGUCAUUGAAUUGCUAUUAUUGGGUUUUAUUUUGUUAUUAUUAUUUUUUAUUUUGGCUUUGGUAUGGUUUUGGUUUUAGUUUAGGCCUGGGCAAAAUGGGCCUAUUACAAGGAGUGUCACACAUUUGAUUACUAUUAUUCCAUACAAAUUAGGUAAAA
Gossypium arboreum is the source of this 865-nucleotide long non-coding RNA. RefSeq lists it as uncharacterized. The record is from RefSeq and is a predicted model, not a curated record. The transcript has 2 exons. NCBI's taxonomy places the organism in Eukaryota, Viridiplantae, Streptophyta, Magnoliopsida, Malvales, Malvaceae.